UAUUUUAUUUGUAUUUAAGAGACUAUGAGCUUCACUAUAUAUUGACCAAACUAUAUUUAUUUUGUUCCAUUUAAAGAGAAUCAAAAAUAUGGUUAAAAUUCUCAAAUUUGUUUAUGCUGCGAUUCUAUUUCUUGUUGUAACACACGUUGGAUGCAGUGGAGAAAGUUGUGAAUCUGCUUCCGAUUGUCCAUCCUUAUGGUAUAAGUGCAUUGAUCACAUUUGUAUAUGGCUACCGAUUAGUACCAGACAAAAAUGAGUAAACAAACGCAAAAUGAGUUACUGCACUAGUAAAAGAUCUAUGAAAUAAACCUUAUUCUAGAACAUUCCACGAGCUUUAAUUUAGUUUUUGGGUUGACAUCCAAUUGUUGUUUGUUUUAGUUAUGUUUUUUUUUACCUUGUAGUUAAGAUUGUAUAAGCUAUCAUAAGAUGGUGAUAACAAAAUGACGGCAUAAUUGUUUCAACGUUCCUUAACUUAA
Cicer arietinum (chickpea) is the source of this 476-nucleotide long non-coding RNA. RefSeq lists it as uncharacterized. NCBI's taxonomy places the organism in Eukaryota, Viridiplantae, Streptophyta, Magnoliopsida, Fabales, Fabaceae. The record is from RefSeq and is a predicted model, not a curated record.